UUAAACACGAUGAUUAGGGAAAGUAGGUUAUACAAGUCAUACAGAGAGGGAUUCCUUGGCUGAGAGAAUCCUAUGAUAUAGUAUAACUGAAGUGCCCCUAUGAGUGUUAGGUCGAAGUUUAUAGUAGGCCGUGACGGGUUCUCCCGUUAUAGAGAUAUGGUGUGUUAGCACCUGAAAACGAGAUAGGGGCUUUUUGUCCCUAAGCAGAGUGGAACCGCGGAAGAUAACCUUCUGCCUCUGAU
This 242-nucleotide non-coding RNA is filed under the name Caloramator australicus. Its description in RNAcentral is "T-box sequence". It matches the Rfam family "T-box leader". Rfam says of the family: Uncharged tRNA acts as the effector for transcription antitermination of genes in the T-box leader family. T-boxes are found upstream of many aminoacyl-tRNA synthetase genes and some amino acid biosynthetic genes usually in Gram-positive bacteria. The anticodon of a specific tRNA base pairs to a specifier sequence within the T-box motif, and the NCCA acceptor tail of the tRNA base pairs to a conserved bulge in the T-box antiterminator hairpin. The record is from RNAcentral. Lineage: Bacteria; Bacillati; Bacillota; Clostridia; Eubacteriales; Clostridiaceae.